Molecule: long non-coding RNA, 1434 nt
Filed under: Oncorhynchus kisutch (coho salmon)
Lineage: Eukaryota; Metazoa; Chordata; Actinopteri; Salmoniformes; Salmonidae
Description: lncRNA (ENSOKIG00005010678.1)
Source: RNAcentral
AGAUGAGGAGUUAAUGGAUACUAACUUCCUGCAGAUGAAACAGCAGCCUCAUCAAUAAGGAAGACAUAUUGAUUAGCCAUCUGCCAGACUGUCUCACAACACUAGCACAUACAUUACCUAACCCAACCACCACAUGAUGUCAUCCCUCUGGUAUGCCUUUGCUUUUACAAAAAUUUUCAGGAGUAUAUUGUAUUUCUAAUUUGUCCUCUGUGUCCAAGGUGUGUGUCUGAGGCUCUUCUGAUCUCCCUGUUCAAAGGAUUGAAUAUGUUCUUGCCACAAUAAUCUUGGCACAGUAAUAAUGUCAAGUGAAAUGUAUGCGCUCAUAAUAAUACAGAUUUGAUAAAAGGUGCUGUACUUUGGAGAAUUUCAGUUUGACCUAGAAUACUUUUACAAUAAAAUGAGCUAUACUUAUUAAAAGUAGGAGAGGUAAAACAACUGAAUAAUAUGCAUUCCUUAUUGAAAUGUAGAAUAUAUUGCAUAAUUCCACAGUGCACAUACUGCUAAUUAAGGACUUCUUAGCCAUAGUGGUAGUUUAUCUCAGCAGGUUUUGGCAGUCUGAACAGCUGACAGUUGCUUUGUGCCAAAUGCACAUGUCUGGGUAUUCACAUGAAGUGGUCUUUGUUUGUUGUGAGUGGAUUUAACAGAGUCUGUUUGGUUUUUGUCCUCAGCUUAUUCCUCGUGGCUGUUUGGAGUUAUUCCUCAGGGUUUGUCUUUUCAGUUGGAGCAUCUUUUAUGGAACAGAGAGGGGAGCUGAAUGGAGAACACUGACUGAUAGAUAACUCCUGUCAGAAGAGCUGGAUGCCUGAGGUAUGAACUCAUGCAGUCUAACGUGACUGACAACACCUCCAAGCCAGUACACUUCACCUAAACUCACAACAUGCAUUAGAUUCAAUAUUUUUGAAACUCACUUCUACUGUAAAGGUUGGGAUUCAAUCUUACACUUUAGAUACAUUCAUAACUCUCUCACUGAGAUGUAUUCAACUGUGUAUGAGAACAUUGUUGGGCAACACAACACCACUGUUGCACUGACAGGGUGGACACGAACACACUGAACAUAAUAGAACUGCUGACUAAGGAACACUUACUGUGUAGAAAGACACUACUACCAGCCUUCAGCAUCCUCUGAGUUUCACACUGAACUUCCCAAAACUGCACCUAAAUGAUCUUAUCUUAGAGUAAGAGGGGGAAGAGAGGGGCGUAGAGAUGUAUUGCAGAAGUUUAGUUGGCCUCUGGUUCAACUUGAAGGUGGAGCUCAAAGCUUCCGGAAUGACCAUGAGGAGAUUGUGGAAGCUGGAGUAGAGACCAUGGGCCUGUCCAGACACCUCAUAAAAUGUAGACGAACAAUAUUGAUCUAUACGGUUAACAACAGAGGGUCAGAUAAAACACCCCAUCAAGAUGGCAUUUAACAGGCAACCUAAACCCAUGGUUUGAGAA